GUCGAGAAUUUUUCACAAUGGGCGAAAGCCUGAUGGAGCGACGCCGCGUGGGGGAUGAAUGGCUUCGGCCCGUAAACCCCUGUCAUUUGCGAGCAAAGCCUGCGCGAUAAUACCGCGCAGGUUGAUAGUAGCGAAAGAGGAAGGGACGGCUAACUCUGUGCCAGCAGCCGCGGUAAUACAGAGGUCCCAAGCGUUGUUCGGAUUCACUGGGCGUAAAGGGUGCGUAGGUGGCAAGGUAAGUUUGAUGUGAAAUCUCUGGGCCCAACCCGGAAACGGCAUUGAAUACUACCUGGCUCGAGAGUUGGAUGGGGGACUGGAAUUCUCGGUGUAGCAGUGAAAUGCGUAGAUAUCGAGAGGAACACCGGUGGCGAAGGCGAGUCCCUGGACAAUAUCUGACACUGAGGCACGAAAGCUAGGGGAGCAAACAGGAUUAGAUACCCGUGUAGUCC
This 449-nucleotide ribosomal RNA is filed under the name uncultured bacterium. RNAcentral's name for it is "bacterial SSU rRNA". It matches the Rfam family "Bacterial small subunit ribosomal RNA", at positions 354 to 796 of the family's 1533-position model. The record is from RNAcentral.